This is a non-coding RNA of Mycena rosella, 91 nucleotides long. NCBI's taxonomy places the organism in Eukaryota, Fungi, Basidiomycota, Agaricomycetes, Agaricales, Mycenaceae. The record is from the annotation of a GenBank genome assembly.
UCGGAUGUGGUGCACGGUGCACGCCCGCUGCCCUUGGCGCGGAGAAAACAAUGUGAUACGGGAAGCCUGGGUUCGACUCCCAGCGUCCGAC